GAUGAGAACGUAGUGAAAUGCGAUAAGUAAUGUGAAUUGCAGAAUUCAGUGAAUCAUCGAAUCUUUGAACGCACAUUGCGCCCGCCAGUAUUCUGGCGGGCAUGCCUGUUCGAGCGUCAUUACAACCCUCAGGCCCCCGGGCCUGGCGUUGGGGAUCGGCGGAGCCCCCCGUGGGCACACGCCGUCCCCCAAAUGCAGUGGCGGUCCCGCCGCAGCUUCCAUCGCGUAGUAGCUAACACCUCGCGACUGGAGAGCGGCGCGGCCACGCCGUAAAACACCCAACUCUUCUGAAGUUGACCUCGAAUCAGGUAGGAAUACCCGCUGAACUUAAGCAUAUCAAUAAGCGGAGGA
This 351-nucleotide unclassified non-coding RNA is filed under the name soil metagenome. RNAcentral's name for it is "partial contains 5.8S ribosomal RNA, internal transcribed spacer 2, and large subunit ribosomal RNA". The stretch from base 5 to 119 matches the Rfam family "5.8S ribosomal RNA", at positions 40 to 154 of the family's 154-position model. The record is from RNAcentral.